GCCCUCUUCUGGUGUGUGUCUGAAGACAGUGACAGUGUGCUCAUACAUAAAUUAGAAGUUUCUAGCAAUUUUGUCCCAGAGGUAGGGUCAUAGACUCAUUCUUGGCAUAGAUUUAGAAUGGGGCCUUUUACCCUUUUAUUACACAAAUACAAGGAGGCAGGCAUGUUGGUUGAAUUUAUUAAACAUGCCAGUUUGUCUUUUAAACACAUUUUGGGGGUUAUUGGCCUUAAGUAUCUUUAAUUAUGUGACUGUCUUAAGCAGAGUCAAUGAGCAUUUUAGACGUUUUCCUUGAAUACAUUCGGUUAAUACCAUUUUCCAGAAUUAUCCAUGCAGUUACCAUUGUCCCUCCUACAAUUUAGAGUUUCUCCUUCUGUUACGGAUUUCCUUUGGCUUUCCACUGUGCUUAGUAUCGUCUAACACGUGAUCAUACACUGUACAGUUCACAUAAGUGCUACCCGGUGAGCCAAGGGUCAGCGUCAUUCUCCCGUGUUUCUCAAGUGCUUACAGAGAGCUGGCUUGUAGAAGCCGCUAGUAGUGUUGAAUAAAUGGUUAACUGAUCUUUGUCUUAAAAGAACAAACACUCCUACAUUUGUGCAUAUUUUGCAGGUCAUGAUUAUUUUAAAUAUUUUAUUAUAGAAGUCAGUUUUUCCUGUCCCUAAUAUUUCGGUAUUUACAUAUUAUAUUUCAAAUAUCAUCAAAUGGCCUCUUCACCGACUUUGCUGAGGACUUUUACUUUAAAACCCACAAAAAUUUAAGGUGAUUUGAAUAGCUUUGGACAGUUUUUUUUUUGGUGGCAUUUUGAUCUGUAGGUUUUGUUUUAUCUUCCUAACAAUGUUUUAACAGUGAGUUUUCUUUUGUCUUCGUAAUGUUUAAGAAAUGUUCCUUCAUCCCAUCUGUAUCUCUCUCAGUUCUGUGCUGCCGUGGGAGUUGGGUCAGAACAUUUAUUGGAGACCUCAGGGGUGUACUAGUGCCCUGCCUCGUGUGGACUGCUGACCCUUGGAGGGCAGGGAUAAAGGAGAACGUGGGAGGACUGAGGACAGAUGUUGGUGUGGGGAGUUCUGGAGCGGACCCCUUGUGAGCAUGUUAGGACCCAGCAAACCGGAAUGCCUUCUCAGCUUCCUGAAGAACAAGGCAGGUGGAUGAAGAGGGGUUGCCCCUGACAGCCCUGCUCCUGACCUUGCUCAAGGAAGACCUUCAAUACCCACCUCCAUCUGACUGAGUUCUGUUAAGGAAGAUAACACUCACAUCUUUGGCUCUCUUCACGAGUGGAGUAAGCCUUCCAUUCUUCAAAGGGAGAACUCCCAGAAGCCAGCAGUGCCCUUGACAAAACCAGCUCAAACUCAAGCUGACAAGCACUUGACUGGGACCAUCACAUCAUUCUUCAGUGACAGGGUCCUGAGCAAGAGGGGCCGGGGAUCAGAGGUAAAGAAGAUAAAACAGAGUAAUGCAUUUGAUUUUGAUGAGGCCCAAUGAAAUACACAGGAGCAAACAAGGUCUUUGGGAAAACGAACUCAGAAUAGCUACUUCCAGCUCGUAUCCAAAGGGGAUAGAAUCAAGAAGAAAAGAGUCCGUGGCAUGCUCAGAAAUUUACUGGAAAGAGUCAAGCUGAGAAAACCAUUCAACUGCAAAGACACACUACCUUACCUGGGUGAGGAAGGAUAACUUGGAGAGGAACUGAGAUCCCAAAUUACAGAGCCAGGAACCAUGGAGGAUCCAAGGGACUUCCAACGUUCAGAAGAUGGCUUUCUCAAAUCAAGAAGACCCUCACCAGAACCUGCUGGUAGCCAAUGAGAGUUUCUAGGCUCUGAAACUGUAUUGUUGUGCUCGGAAUGCUGCAGCCUCCAUCUUGAGACUCCACCCAACACCAAUACAGGCAAGAGGAGCAGAGGGUGUCCAACUCCUACACAUGGGCCGCUAAACUUCCCCCAGCCAACCAAAAAGCUGGUUUUUAGUUAAAAAUACUGUCUGCUGAUAAAAGAAAUAAGGAUGAGUGUAUCAUUCAACCCUCAUUGGAGAAGCUUCCUCCUGCAGUAGAUGGGAAUUAGCAGAGACCAACAACUGGACAUAAGUAAUGAGUGAGAGACUUGGAGGCCCUCAGUCCCACAUGGGAGGUCUUCGUCAAAUUCCUUCCCUGAAGGCUUAGGGAGCUAUGUAGAUGAGGAGACAGAAAGAUCGUAAGAGCCAGAGAUGGCGGGUGAUUCCAAGGAACAAUGUCUUCCAGACACAACAGGACUGAUCUACAUGUAAGUUCACAGAGACUGUGAAGCCCACAAAACCUGCACAAGUUCAAACAAGACAAAAUCCCAGCACCGAGAAGGGGAAAUGGACCCAGGUAGAGUCCUAGCCCUAACUAAAGAGCUAUUUGCAAGUGAUGUUUACUGGGAAAGGGAAAAUCCAUUUUCUCUCGUGGAGUGUCACUGGGCAUAUCAGUCA
This 2433-nucleotide small RNA is filed under the name Rattus norvegicus (Norway rat). RNAcentral describes it as "uncharacterized LOC102548160". The record is from RNAcentral. Lineage: Eukaryota; Metazoa; Chordata; Mammalia; Rodentia; Muridae.